CUAUUCCUCAGGGGUGAAAUCAAAACAAGGAGCCGCAUGAAACUGAGACUUGGAUUUCACUCCUGCACGAUUCGAUUGUGUGAUACUACUCAGUCCUACUUUAAUAUUCAUAAUUGAGUUGGUCUCUCUCAUUAGAAAAAAAAACCCUGCAUCUUAUGACAGACCAAGUUAAUUUUUCAGAGCAUGUGAGCAGCUCACGUAUCAUUCGAGUAUUAAAAGAAGUGCGCCUGGUGCUGUGGCUCUCCUUCCCUCUGAACGUGUGACAUCGGCUGGCUGAGAGCAUGAGAGCGGAGCCGCUUGAAUGGCAGAAUCCUCAU
Molecule: long non-coding RNA, 317 nt
Organism: Xyrauchen texanus (razorback sucker)
Lineage: Eukaryota; Metazoa; Chordata; Actinopteri; Cypriniformes; Catostomidae
Exons: 3
Source: RefSeq, a predicted model, not a curated record